GACGAACGCUGGCGGCGUGCCUAACACAUGCAAGUCGAGCGGAGCCAUCCGAUGGAUUCCUUCGGGAUGAAAUUGGUGAAGCUUAGCGGCGGACGGGUGAGUAACGCGUGAGUAACCUGCCCAUAAGAGAGGGAUAACACAGAGAAAUUUGUGCUAAUACCUCAUAAUGCCAGACUGAGACAUCUCUAACUGGCCAAAGAUUUAUCGGCAAAGGAUGGGCCUGCGUCUGAUUAGCUAGUUGGUGGGGUAACGGCCUACCAAGGCGACGAUCAGUAGCCGACCUGAGAGGGUGAUCGGCCACAUUGGAACUGAGACACGGUCCAAACUCCUACGGGAGGCAGCAGUGGGGAAUAUUGCACAAUAGGGCGAAAGACCUGAUGCAGCAACGCCGCGUGAAGGAAGUUUAAGGCUUCGGAUCGUAAACUUACUGUCCUUAGGGAAGAGUAAUGACGGUAACCUUUGGUAGGAAGCCCGGCUAACUACGUAGCCAGC
Molecule: ribosomal RNA, 492 nt
Filed under: uncultured bacterium
Lineage: Bacteria
Description: bacterial SSU rRNA
Rfam family: Bacterial small subunit ribosomal RNA
Source: RNAcentral